This 392-nucleotide long non-coding RNA is filed under the name Gallus gallus (chicken). Lineage: Eukaryota; Metazoa; Chordata; Aves; Galliformes; Phasianidae. The record is from RNAcentral.
AUGAAGGUUACUUCCUGAGGUUGUGCUCUGCAGUUUCCUUGGAAAUAAAGAGAAGACAUUACUUUUGGAGCAACCUACAUAGAUUAUCUUCACUCAGAUGAUUUCCCUGGUUUUUCACUGAUGUGUACCAGCUGAAGUGUUCGCUUGGAAACAACUUUUGGAGCUUCUUUACCAUCGAAAGAAAGGACGUGAAUAUGGCAAAUAUGGCAAAUAUGGAAGGUAAGAUUUAUCAAAUAUAUCAGAAAGUGAAGAGAUUUCUAUUUGUAACUGUUUUUAAGGAGAAAAAUAACUGAGUUGAAAAGGCUAUGAAAUUAAGGAGGGUAUAAAAACAAUGACUAAGUUAGUAAGUCAGUUACAUCCAUGUUUUUUAUUUUGAAUUUAUCAUGGUAACC